UCAAGUAAUUAAGUGCAUGUGGUGGAUGCCUUGGCAGUCAGAGGCGAUGAAAGACGUGAUAGCCUGCGAAAAGCUCCGGGGAGGCGGCAAAUAUCCUUUGAUCCGGAGAUGUCUGAAUGGGGGAACCCACCUACUUUAAGGUAGGUAUUGCAACAUGAAUACAUAGUGUUGCAAGGCGAACGAGGGGAAGUGAAACAUCUCAGUACCCUUAGGAAAAGAAAUCAAUUGAGAUUCCCUCAGUAGCGGCGAGCGAACGGGGAUCAGCCCAUUAAGUUAUGUGUGUUUUAGUGGAACGCUCUGGGAAGUGCGAACGUAGAGGGUGAUAUUCCCGUACACGAAAGGGCACACAUAAUGAUGACGAGUAGGGCGAGGCACGUGAAACCUUGUCUGAAUAUGGGGGGACCAUCCUCCAAGGCUAAAUACUCCUGACUGACCGAUAGUGAACCAGUACCGUGAGGGAAAGGCGAAAAGAACCCCUGUGAGGGGAGUGAAAUAGAUCCUGAAACCGCAUGCAUACAAGCAGUGGGAGCACCUUCGUGGUGUGACUGCGUACCUUUUGUAUAAUGGGUCAGCGACUUAUAUUCAGUAGCGAGGUUAACCGUAUAGGGGAGCCGUAGAGAAAUCGAGUCUUAAUAGGGCGUUUAGUUGCUGGGUAUAGACCCGAAACCAGGCGAUCUAUCCAUGAGCAGGUUGAAGGUUGGGUAACACUAACUGGAGGACCGAACCCACUGUCGUUGAAAAGCCAGGGGAUGACUUGUGGAUAGGGGUGAAAGGCUAAUCAAGCCUGGUGAUAGCUGGUUCUCCCCGAAAGCUAUUUAGGUAGCGCCUCGGACGAAUACCAUAGGGGGUAGAGCACUGUUUCGGCUAGGGGGUCAUCCCGACUUACCAAACCGAUGCAAACUCCGAAUACCUAUGAGUACUAUCCGGGAGACAGACUGCGGGUGCUAACGUCCGUAGUCAAGAGGAAAACAAUCCAGACCGCCAGCUAAGGCCCCAAAAUCAUAGUUAAGUGGGAAACGAUGUGGGAAGGCAUAGACAGCUAGGAGGUUGGCUUAGAAGCAGCCACCCUUUAAAGAAAGCGUAAUAGCUCACUAGUCGAGUCGGCCUGCGCGGAAGAUGUAACGGGGCUAAAACUAUGUGCCGAAGCUGCGGAUGUAUACUUUGUAUACGUGGUAGGGGAGCGUUCUGUAAGCCGAUGAAGGUGUGUUGAGAAGCAUGCUGGAGGUAUCAGAAGUGCGAAUGCUGACGUGAGUAACGACAAAACGGGUGAAAAACCCGUUCGCCGAAAGACCAAGGGUUCCAGUCCAACGUUAAUCGGGGCUGGGUGAGUCGACCCCUAAGGCGAGGCCGAAAGGCGUAGUCGAUGGGAAAAUGGUUAAUAUUCCAUUACUUCUGUGUAAUGCGAUGAGAGGACGGAGAAGGCUAAAUCAGCCUGGCGUUGGUUGUCCAGGUGAAAGGAUGUAGGCAUGUAUCUUAGGCAAAUCCGGGGUACUCUAUGCUGAGAUCUGAUAGCAAGCUGUACUUGUACAGCGAAGUGGUUGAUGCCAUGCUUCCAGGAAAAGUCUCUAAGCUUCAGUUACACAGGAAUCGUACCCGAAACCGACACAGGUGGUCAGGUCGAGUAGACCAAGGCGCUUGAGAGAACUCUGCUGAAGGAACUAGGCAAAAUGGUACCGUAACUUCGGGAGAAGGUACGCUGUUGUUGGUGAUGGAACUCGCUUCCUGAGCUGACGACAGCCGCAGAAACCAGGCCGCUGCAACUGUUUAUUAAAAACAUAGCACUCUGCAAACACGAAAGUGGACGUAUAGGGUGUGAUGCCUGCCCGGUGCUGGAAGGUUAAUUGAUGGGGUUAGCGUAAGCGAAGCUCUUGAUCGAAGCCCCAGUAAACGGCGGCCGUAACUAUAACGGUCCUAAGGUAGCGAAAUUCCUUGUCGGGUAAGUUCCGACCUGCACGAAUGGCAUAAUGAUGGCGGCGCUGUCUCCAGCAGAGGCUCAGUGAAAUCGAAAUCGCUGUGAAGAUGCAGUGUACCCGCGGCUAGACGGAAAGACCCCGUGAACCUUUACUGCAGCUUGACACUGAACUUUGACCUUACUUGUGUAGGAUAGGUGGGAGGCUUUGAAGCUGGAACGCUAGUUCCAGUGGAGCCGUCCUUGAAAUACCACCCUGGUAAUGUUGAGGUUCUAACUCUGUCCCGUGAUCCGGGACGAGGACCGUGUCUGGUGGGUAGUUUGACUGGGGCGGUCUCCUCCUAAAGAGUAACGGAGGAGUACGAAGGUGCGCUCAGCGUGGUCGGAAAUCACGCGUAGAGUAUAAAGGCAAAAGCGCGCUUAACUGCGAGACCCACAAGUCGAGCAGGUACGAAAGUAGGUCUUAGUGAUCCGGUGGUUCUGUAUGGAAGGGCCAUCGCUCAACGGAUAAAAGGUACUCUGGGGAUAACAGGCUGAUACCGCCCAAGAGUUCAUAUCGACGGCGGUGUUUGGCACCUCGAUGUCGGCUCAUCUCAUCCUGGGGCUGAAGCAGGUCCCAAGGGUAUGGCUGUUCGCCAUUUAAAGAGGUACGCGAGCUGGGUUUAGAACGUCGUGAGACAGUUCGGUCCCUAUCUACCGUGGGCGCUGGAAAUUUGAGAGGAUCUGCUCCUAGUACGAGAGGACCAGAGUGGACGAACCUCUGGUGUACCGGUUGUGACGCCAGUCGCAUCGCCGGGUAGCUAUGUUCGGAAGGGAUAACCGCUGAAAGCAUCUAAGCGGGAAGCCUACCUCAAGAUAAGAUUUCCCUAGGACUUUAUGUCCUCUAAAGAGCCGUUCGAGACUAGGACGUUGAUAGGUUGGAUGUGGAAGCAUAGUGAUAUGUGAAGCUGACCAA
This 2864-nucleotide ribosomal RNA is filed under the name Acinetobacter baumannii ZW85-1. RNAcentral's name for it is "bacterial LSU rRNA". It matches the Rfam family "Bacterial large subunit ribosomal RNA". The record is from RNAcentral. Lineage: Bacteria; Pseudomonadati; Pseudomonadota; Gammaproteobacteria; Moraxellales; Moraxellaceae.